CAUCUUCCAUCCCAGCAUUGCUGCAUGUGAGCCUGCCCAGCUCCCUCCAACGGCCCCUCCGGCACUUUAGGAGAUGCUGGAAACCCAGAGCAUAUUUCCCCAGGUUCUGGAGCUGAGUGCGAUCCCACGACAUUCUGACCCUACACCUGGGCCUGGAGCGCCUGGCAACUUGGGCUUGUUUGGCACCAAGAUGGAAGCCCCAGAAUACAGGGAGACAGCCCCGGGCCAGAUCCAAACGCAGAACCCCUUCUGAAUCAUCUGGCUGGAGAUGGGAAUCGGGGAAAAGUGGGUUGGAAAUCUGGCAGCCAGGGGCAAGCAGACUGCCCACAGGAAUUCACGGGGUCGAAGCCUUGAGGAAAAAAAACAAGAAAAGAAAAGAAAGAGAAGAAUGUACAAGGAGCACAUUGUGGCCAGCUACAGAUGGAAACAAGCCCCACUGUACGAACAAGCAAAGGGAAAGUCGUGUUGGGGCAUUAUCUCUGGCAACCUGAUCUGCUCCAGUAUGGAAGAAGAAGAAGCAGGGGCCAGGAGGGAGGGAGGGAGAGAGAGAAAGAGGAAGAGAGAGAAAUGGAGAGGGGAGCUGGGAAAGGAGAGAGCCCUAGGGCCCGAUGGAAGUAGAAGAGGCCCCAUAUUUUCAUUUUGCUGCUGAUUCUGAAUCCCAGUGACAUUUUUUGUUGUUUUUCAUGUUAUUUGUUAAGCGCUUACUAUGUGCCAGACACUGUACUAAGAGGGGGAAACCCAAGAGAGCUCUUAAAUUAAGAAUCCAUGUUUUGGGAGGCUUUCUAUGGCAUUUGUCUAAGCACUUACUAUGUGCUAGGGACUGUACUAAGCUCUGGGGAGAUACAAGAUAAUCAGGUUGGACACAGCCCCUGAUCCACAUGGGCUCACCUUCUUAAUCCCCAUUUUACAGAUGAGGUAACUGAGGCACAGAGAAGUUAAAUGACUUGCCCAAGGUCCCACAGCAGACAAGUUGCAGAGCCGGGAUUAGACCCCAGGUCCUCUAACUCCCCAGCCUGUGUUCUUCCCACUAGGCCGUGCUGCUUCUCUAUAGUAUUGUCAGAAGCAGUGGAUAGAGCAUGGGCCUGGGAGUCAGUGUAUCUGAGUUCUAAUUCCGGCUCUGCUACUUGCUCACUGUGUGACCUUGGGCAAGACACUUAAUUUCUCUGUGCCUCCGUUUCCUCAACUGUAAAUUGAGAAUUCAAUACCUCUUCUCCUUCCUACCUGGACUAUAAGCCCCAUGUGGGGCAGGGACUGUGUCCAACCUGAUUAGCUUGUAUCUACUCCAGUGCUUAGAACAAUGCCUGUCUCAUAGUAAACUCUUUAACAAAUACCAUUUAAAAACUUUGUGUCUACUCCAGCACUUAGUGUUUGAUACAUAGAAAGUGGCUAACAGAUAUAAUAAUAAUAAUAGUAACAAUAUUUUGUGCAAAAGUUAACUACACCCAUCGAGACACAGACUGACUCUGCCCACACAAGAACCCCCCAAAAACAGCACUAUGGCCCCAGAACUGUCCCCCAUAUGCUGACUUGGACUGUGAGCCCCAUGUGGGACAGGGUCUGUUUCCAACCUGAUUAUCUUGAAUCCACUGCAGUGCUUAACGCAGUGCUUGGCUCGUGGUAAGUGCUUGACAAGUACCAUUAGUGAAGGAGAUAUGAAAGCUGAGAAAACUGCUCUUCCUUUUCCACUGGCAGAAGCAGGGCAUUCCCCCUCCAUCGACAUACAUACACACAGCUCCCUUCAUUUGGGCCUCUUGUGAGAGGCCUUAGGGGCAAGUCCUGGCUUUGAAGCCUCCUUCAGGAUGGAGGUUUGGGGAGAUGGGGGUGUUUGGGAGGGAUGAACUGAAUUCACUGGCCACCUGCGUAGGUCAUCAUUGCUUAGAUCCAGCGCUUAGGGGCUGAGUGGGAACUGAGCCAGAGAUUCACCCCUUCUCUGUGCUGCCCCACCCCACUACAUUCCCCUAAAGAGUUUAUUUCUGGUGCAACGUAUGCGUGUAUACGUCAAUCGGUGUAUAUAUUUAACUACACAUGUUUUCAUAUGAAGAGGUCAGGAAAUACGAGCCAAAAGCUCACUAAGCCGCUUAUUUAUUGUACCAGAGAGGAAUAUUCUUCACAUCCUGAGGCUUUGUCAGGCCAGGGGCCCGGGGCAAAGACAGAUAGUGCUGACAACAUUGUCUGUCAGAGGGUUUUGCCCGGAGCUGCAGCUGGGAGCUCGCGGGGAAUUCAGGCCAGUGGGUAACCCUUUCCUACCCGGAUUACUAGAGAGGGAGCAGCAACCCUUGUAGCCAUACCCCGGGGCAUGAGUGGGAAGGGAGGGAGUCGGGUCGCAGUUCAGAUACACCAGGACAAUUUGUCCCUUUGGGGCUCCCAACACCCCCUUUUCCAACCCCCAAAGAAAACACAUCUGAAGUUCCAAGCUUCGGACCUGCUUUACAGAAGUUCUAGCAACACACAGGUGUGUGGUUGAUUGCCCACUCUGGGGCUCUGUGAGGGGAAGAAGAGACUGUGCUCUGUGUGUGUGUGAGAGAGAGUACAAUUUGUGAACAUGCAUGCUUGGUACUUGGUUGUGUAAGCAUCCUCUUGUGUGUGCAUGUGUAUUUCUAUAGGUUACAGAUGUGCCAGGGUCUUUGUUAGAAAUGAAUUUAAUUUCCAGAAUUUCCCCAGUGGAAAUUUAUCUUCCUGGGGUUUCUAUUGAGCAAAUGCUGCUUGAACAUAGGCAUCCACCCCUCUCCCUCCCACCCACCCAGUGGGUUCCAUAAUCCCCCAGAGAGAUCAGGGCCUGAUUCUGAGUGGAAAUGUAACCCAGACUUUCAAAGCGGAGUCAACGAUGAAACUGCUCCUUCUUAGAAAGUCUCUGUACUGGUGGCCGGUGGAUCAGGGUAUCGCUGGAUGGGGAGAGCCACCACUUCCCGCAAUUGGGUGCUAGAGCAAUUCCAAGCACCUGGGAGCCUUGGUAUUUUGUGGGUGGCAUUCCGGCUGUGUGUCUGGGCGCACUGCACCCACGCACUUGUUCGCGUCUCACGUGUCUGGGAGUGCUUACAUCCCUGCAGGUGAGAAUGUUCUCGUUCCUUCAGAACCACUGCCUGCUUUUCUCUCCCCGACCUUUGCCAGCACCAUCCUCCUCCUCCCAGUCUGGGCAGUGCCUCCCUCAAAACUAUUCAUUCCACAAACCUCUCCCUGUCCGUCCAGAACCCACCUCAAGUGGAGCCCAGACAGGACCAGGAGCCGGGAUGUGCCAACCGUAUGAAACUACAGUCUGCGGCGUCAGCCCCGGAUUCUCGACUCCUUCCCUUCCACCACGUGGGUUGGACUGUCUUUAGGCUGCUGGUUUUUCUUAAAAGGUACUAGGCAUUCCUAUAAAUACAUUUUACAGGACUAAAAAUUCCAUUCACAACUGGGACUGCUUCCUUUUCAGUGGAAAUCCCUGGCCUCUGUCCCUGUCCCCAUCCUCUCUCCCUGUCACUGUUUGUCCAGGUUGGAAUCUGCCUCCCUUAGUGCUUACCGACAGACCCAGAGAUAUAACUGUUUUCUCCCACAAAGGUGGCAAGGGCCACACACAAAACAUGCCCUCCUUCAUUUCCAGGCCUCCCCUCUUAACAACCUUUCCUCCCCGCCCCCGCCACUUCCACCCCACUACACCCCCCACCCUGCCAAAAGCAAACCCACACCCUUAACUGUGAGUUUCCUGACUUCUCUGGCUUCCAUUCAGAUCUUUCAGAAAGGGCCUCAGGAAGCACAGGAACACAGCUAGACCUAAGCAGGAGG
This 3762-nucleotide long non-coding RNA is filed under the name Ornithorhynchus anatinus (platypus). Its description in RNAcentral is "lncRNA (ENSOANG00000038116.1)". Lineage: Eukaryota; Metazoa; Chordata; Mammalia; Monotremata; Ornithorhynchidae. The record is from RNAcentral.